UAAUUAAGCGGAGGAAAAGAAACCAACCAGGAUUCCCUCAGUAAGGGCGACUGAAGCGGGAUGAGCUCACAGUGUGAAUCGGCGCUGGAUAAUUUUUGGCGUUGAAUUGUGGUCUGUGGACGUGGGCGUUCAUUGUGCCGGGCCAAGUUCCUUGGAAAAGGACAGCCGAGAGGGUGAUACUCCCGUUAUCCUGGCCAUCGAGCCCGUGUCGAAGAGUCGAGUUGUUUGGGAUUGCAGCUCUAAGUGGGUGGUAAAUUCCAUCUAAGGCUAAAUAUUGGUGGGAGACCGAUAGCGCACAAGUACCGUGAGGGAAAGAUGCAAAGGACUUUGAAAAGAGAGUUAAAGAGUACCUGAAAUUGCUGAAACGGAAGCGAAGGAAACCAGUGUCAAGCAAUGUCAUACUUCCCCCUCCGCUUGCGGCGUGGGGCGCUGUGGCUAGCGUCUGCCAGGUUUGGUUGGAUUGACUGGAUGCCACUAUGUGGUUUGGUUGGCUCGACUGAUAAUCUGGCGAAAUGGUUUUCUUUCCCCCG
This 530-nucleotide ribosomal RNA is filed under the name Cocconeis pediculus. RNAcentral's name for it is "eukaryotic LSU rRNA". It matches the Rfam family "Eukaryotic large subunit ribosomal RNA", at positions 43 to 651 of the family's 3401-position model. The record is from RNAcentral. Lineage: Eukaryota; Bacillariophyta; Bacillariophyceae; Cocconeidales; Cocconeidaceae.